This is a long non-coding RNA of Phyllostomus discolor (pale spear-nosed bat), 192 nucleotides long. RefSeq lists it as uncharacterized. The transcript is spliced from 3 exons. The record is from RefSeq and is a predicted model, not a curated record. Lineage: Eukaryota; Metazoa; Chordata; Mammalia; Chiroptera; Phyllostomidae.
UGGAUCUCUGGGAGCUCAGAGACUUUAGCUGACUCUCUUCUGGGCCUGGUGCUAGUAAAAGCCUGAUUUGAUGUGCAGCCUGGUUCUUUCUGUACACAAACAGGCGCAGCAGAGGGAGCCACAUGCUGCGGGUUGCUGAUAGCUCCCAACAGGUUGCCCAAGGCCAAUCACAAGCAGCAUUAUACAAAGAUC